Molecule: non-coding RNA, 2929 nt
Organism: Lolium perenne
Lineage: Eukaryota; Viridiplantae; Streptophyta; Magnoliopsida; Poales; Poaceae
Source: RefSeq, a predicted model, not a curated record
GCACCGUCAGCCCCCUCCAACGCCAGCGCCCUAGGACGCCGUGCUGCCGCCCGUUGCAAGUCGCCGCCCUGCAUCCCAACGCCACACCAUUUCCCUUCGUCCCCAACGCCGCACCGCCCGUCCACCCGAUGCAAGGACGCCGCCGCCGGAGGACGCCGCCCUGCACCUUCUGUCCGGUGUCAUCCACUGCUCCUCGAAGCCGAACUACAGCUAAAGGUACCUGAAUAUGCGCUUCCCAAUUUGGCACAAUAUAUUGCUUCCCAGUUUGCACUCUGAAAGGCAAAGGUUAUUUCUUUUAAUUAGCUGUAAUCUAGAUAUUGAUGUUCUAAUAUGUCUCUAGCUCCACAUACAUCAUUUAUGGGAUGAUCCCCUACAUGCAAAUAAUCUCCAAGUUUGACGUGUAAAAGCUUACAGGGCCUUAAAACAUGUCUGAAGAAACCUUCUCUUUGCACAUCGUUCUCACAAAAUUAUCUUCGGUAAGCUUGUGGCUAGCUGUAUUUAACAUUCCGUAUUAGCAUGAAGUAAAUAUUUCCAGUAGUCAUCUUUUGGUAAAAGUGUAUCCAAAUGUGUGGUUCAUGCCUGCAAUACAAAAAUAUGAAGAAAACUCAUAUAAACAAGCUACAAUUAUGUGAGAAAGCCAUGGUUACUUUUUUUUUGGUCAGUCAGAACUUGUAUGAAUCGGUGCAAUGAGAUACAUGCGACAUUAAAAAAAGUUAAUCUCUAUCUCCUACAUUCCUCUCUAGGUGGCUGUAGUGUUCCCGUAUGCAUAUGUGUUCUCUCUUUCUGUCCAUGGCAUCUCCUUUUCGUUUCAAAUUUGUGAGCAUCAAUUUCAAUCUCCUAAAAUUACUGGGAAAUAAAUAGAAGUUAGGCACAACUAUCUCUGAUAUCAAACUUGCUAGGCUUUACUCUGUUUUUUGUUACAAGGUAAGUAAAAGCUUUGAAAACAUUCUUCCUAUAAAUGUUGAAAGACUACCCAGCCAUCCAGGGGGUCUGAGAGGGGCAAAUCGAUCUGAUCCGUCCGUUUCGCUAGCUACAGUAAAUUCCAAUCCCGCUUUUCACCACGGCCGUCGGAUGUUGUAAUUUUUUAAUCACUUUUUGCUUGUCCCGUCGAGUCCAUGACAAACGGGACCUUAUAUGUGCGCGGGCCGCCGGUCAUAGGCAGCCACACAGGCUCGUUCAUGUCACCCUUCUCGUUUGGGGCAGUGAAAACCUAGACGGGCCAGUCUCUCCUCCCCCAAUCCCCACCUCCUCUCCCGUCCCCCAAUCCCCACCUCCUCUCCCAACCCGUGCCGCCGGCUCUCCUCCUCGGAAGAAGCGCCAUCCGUCACUCCGCUGCACCGGCGUGCGGCGAGAUCAAGAAGGAUGGCGGCAGCGACCGGAGGCGCCGAGUGCGGCCAGAGACGGGCCGACGCAGGGCGGAUCCGCGACGACCGGAGGCGGCGGUGGCGGCGGAGACCGGUGGCGCCGGGCGCGGCCAGAGACGGGCCGGCUCUGGGCGGAUCCGCGGCGGCGACGACCGGAGGCGACGGUCGCGGCCAGAGACGGAUCGGCGCGGGGCGGCCGCCUCAAGUGAAGAACUGGUCUCGCUCGACAAUGCCCUCGCUCGCCGUCAUGCUGGUCUCCCCUUCCCCAACCGGAGUGGAUUGGCAGACAUGGACAUGGCCAGAGCAGGCACGCUUUGACAUGGAUUUGAUCAAACAAAAGAAUCAUUGGAAGCUGAUUUGGAGGAAUGUCACUGUAUGCAAUCCUGUUGCUUCUCUAUGUUCUUUGGCUGCUUCGACGUGGCAGAUGCAAAAUGAGAGGUACAAGUUUGGGGUCAAUGAUGCAUUACUUGCUAGAAGGAAAUAUCUAAAUUGAUGAAUCUAAAAAAGUCGAAUAAACAGUUAAAGGUGCUACAGUUUGGAAUAACUUUGGUUUUACAAGUUCAUAUUUUGAAGAUUGAAAAUAAAAAGUACAUGAAGAAUAACUUUGUCCUAGGAAACUAGCUCCAUUUAUUCUACGAAAAAAUAUAACUUCUGUAGAUAUGCCUUCGGUUUGUAAUUUUUAUUUCUUCUUUGCUAAUAUCUUUUGGUUCUACGGCAUUUGCCUUGCUGCGUAGGAUAUUUUGAGCUGAGAACUGACAUCAUCAUUAGUGCGUUGAUGGAUCUUGAGACAUGAGCCAAUGCUGCUGGUACUGACAAGGGCAUGCAGGUACGACGGCGGCUGGAUGGGAUUUGAGAAGAGAGGCAAGGCUGGAUGGUGACUUCUGACGCAGCUGCACAAGCAUCGUCAGGUAUCCACCAAGGGUGUGUUAUUUGGUAUCCCGCUUCUUUCCUUCCAGGCAUGUCGCCCCCCUAUCGACAGGCUCAACCUUCUUGUGAGAUCAUCACCCAUCCCUCAGUUUCAGUUAGCUCCUUCCUGCUAAUAUUUCUUACUUCGUCCGGUUCAAUAUUUCUCAAUUGGUCUUGCUAUGUUGCUGCGAGGUGGCAUCAUUUUUGGUAAAGAUCAUUGCUCUCAAGGUAGCGAGGAGGAUCUCCAAAGCAAGAUGUUCCUUUGCAUGGAAUUAUAUUCAACCAUUGCAAGUUCUUGGAUAUAUUCCAUUUAGAUGGAUUCAACUAUGUGCAGCACUCAAAGUUGUUGUGCAAGGUGAAGAUCGAUCUGCAGAUCGCGGAAUUCAUGCUGAUGGUGGUCCUCUGAUCCAUGCUUACCAAGGAGGUUAAGCUGACAUGAUUCAGCCCAAAAUGGGUUGGCAUUUUCUUCCGCCUAGCUUACUUAAAGAGGGUAGAAGCGGGUCAUGAUGGUCACUGGAAGUCUGAUAGAGUGAAGAAUAAAAAGGCUGGAAAGACCAUUGAUAAUGUGGUAACAGAAGAAUUGGAGGUGCCUUCUGGCAUUAAUAAAUCUGGCAGAAAGGUUUUUGCUGAUGUGGCCAUGUGGGUGGGUUGGAAACAGG